Molecule: ribosomal RNA, 366 nt
Filed under: uncultured Acholeplasma sp.
Lineage: Bacteria; Bacillati; Mycoplasmatota; Mollicutes; Acholeplasmatales; Acholeplasmataceae
Description: bacterial SSU rRNA
Rfam family: Bacterial small subunit ribosomal RNA
Source: RNAcentral
AUAGUGGAGGUUAUCAAGGAGACAGGUGGUGCAUGGUUGUCGUCAGCUCGUGUCGUGAGAUGUUGGUUAAGUCCCGCAACGAGCGCAACCCUUAUUGCUAGUUACCAUCAUUAAGUUGGGGACUCUAGCGAGACUGCCAGUGAUAAACUGGAGGAAGGUGGGGAUGACGUCAAAUCAUCAUGCCCCUUAUGACCUGGGCUACAAACGUGAUACAAUGGCUGAAACAAAGGGCAGCGAAGCAGUGAUGUGGAGCGAAACCCAAAAAGCAGUCUCAGUUCGGAUUGAAGUCUGCAACUCGACUUCAUGAAGUUGGAAUCGCUAGUAAUCGUAGAUCAGAACGCUACGGUGAAUACGUUCUCGGGGUUU